RNAcentral lists this ribosomal RNA (57 nucleotides) under uncultured organism. Its description in RNAcentral is "partial 16S ribosomal RNA". The record is from RNAcentral.
UGGGCUUGACAUGUAGGGAAAAACUGCAGAGAUGCAGCGUCCUUCGGGGCCCUACAC